This 196-nucleotide ribosomal RNA is filed under the name uncultured bacterium. Its description in RNAcentral is "partial 16S ribosomal RNA". It matches the Rfam family "Bacterial small subunit ribosomal RNA", at positions 333 to 525 of the family's 1533-position model. The record is from RNAcentral.
AGAUUCCUACGGGAGGCAGCAGUGAGGAAUAUUGGUCAAUGGAGGCAACUCUGAACCAGCCAUGCCGCGUGCAGGAUGACGGUCCUAUGGAUUGUAAACUGCUUUUGUACAGGAAGAAACAUUGCUACGUGUAGCAACUUGACGGUACUGUAAGAAUAAGGAUCGGCUAACUCCGUGCCAGCAGCCGCCGGUAAUA